GACGAACGCUGGCGGCGUGCUUAACACAUGCAAGUCGAACGGAAAGGCCCUGCUUUUGUGGGGUGCUCGAGCGGCGAACGGGUGAGUAACACGUGAGUAACCUGCCCUUGACUUUGGGAUAACUUCAGGAAACUGGGGCUAAUACCGGAUAGGAGCUCCUGCUGCAUGGUGGGGGUUGGAAAGUUUCGGCGGUUGGGGAUGGACUCGCGGCUUAUCGGCUUGUUGGUGGGGUAGUGGCUUACCAAGGCUUUGACGGGUAGCCGGCCUGAGGGGGUGACCGGCCCCAUUGGGCCUGAGAUACGGCCCAGACUCCUACGGGAGGCGGCAGUGGGGAAUAUUGCACAAGGGGCGGACGCCUGAUGCAGCAACGCCGCGUGCGGGAUGACGGCUUUCGGGUUGUAAACCGCUUUCGCCUGUGACGAAGCGUGAGUGACGGUAAUGGGUAAAGAAGCACCGGCUAACUACGUG
Molecule: ribosomal RNA, 468 nt
Filed under: uncultured bacterium
Lineage: Bacteria
Description: partial 16S ribosomal RNA
Rfam family: Bacterial small subunit ribosomal RNA
Source: RNAcentral